AUGAUGGAGAAUCUCCAGGUGCUUGUCCUGCACGAAAAUCGCUUGUUUGGGUCCAUCCCACCUCAGAUUGCAAUGCUCAAGAAUAUAGGUCAUAUGUUCCUCUACAACAAUAAAUUGUCUGGUUCAGUACCGGAGGGGAUUGGUAACCUGACCAAGUUAGAAUACCUAGCAUUGUCUGCCAACCACUUAUCAUCAAUUAUCCCAUCAAGUUUAUUUCAUCUUGACAGUCUUCUCCGGCUAGAUGUGUCUCAAAACUUCUUGACUGGCACAUUACCCAUUGAUAUGGGAUAUUUGAAGCAAAUUUACAGCAUGGACCUCUCUGCCAACCUCUUGGUUGGUAGCAUCCCAUAUUCGAUUGGACAACUCCAAACGACAGCCUAUCUGAACCUGUCACACAAUUCAUUUAAUGAUUCACUUCCAGAAUCUUUCAACAAGCUAACUAGCUUGCAAACUUUGGACCUAUCACAUAACAGUCUCUCUGGUACAAUACCAAAGUACCUAGUCAAUUUCACCAUCCUGACCAGCUUGAACCUGUCUUUCAACAAGCUACAAGGUCAAGUACCAGAAGGUAUUGUCUUCUCAAAUAUUAGCCAACAAUCCUUGACGGGGAAUCCAGGGCUUUGUGGUGCUUCACGUUUAGGAUUUCCAAUGUGCCCAAGUAACUCUAAAAGAACUAAUAAUGGCUUCAUGCUGAAAAUUUGGCUGCCUACUAUCAUCAUAUCAAUUGGACUUGUAGCUUCCUGCAUAUAUGUAAUGCUCAGAAAGAGGAUUAAGAAGCGGCUAGGGAUGUCAGCUUCUCCCGGUAUGGUUGACAUGCCCACCUAUCACCUGGUCUCGUACCAUGAGCUUGUUCGAGCAACUGAUAAUUUUAGUGAGAGCAACCUGCUAGGGUCUGGAAGUUUUGGAAAAGUUUUCAAGGGUCGGCUAAGCAACGGCUUGAUUGUUGCAAUCAAAGUACUAGACAUGCAGGUAGAACAAGCGAUGAGAAGCUUUGAUAUAGAGUGUGGUGUACUACGGAUGGCACGACACCGCAAUCUAAUGAGGAUACUCAAUACCUGCUCCAACUUGGAAUUUAGGGCAUUGGUCCUUCAAUACAUGCCCAAUGGCAGCUUAGAGAUGCUCCUGCACAACUCGCAAGGUACAACACCAUUGGGAUUCAGAGUGAGACUAGGCAUCAUGCUCGAUGUGUCGUUGGCAAUGGAGUAUCUACACCAUGAACACUACGAGGUGGUCCUGCACUGUGACUUGAAGCCUAGCAAUGUGUUGUUCGAUGAGGACAUGACAACACAUGUGGCGGACUUUGGCAUUGCAAGGUUGUUACUAGGUGAUAACAGCUCUACGAUCACUGCGAGCAUGCCUGGAACUGUUGGCUACAUGGCACCAGAGUAUGGGGCUUAG
RNAcentral lists this ribosomal RNA (1398 nucleotides) under Triticum aestivum (bread wheat). RNAcentral describes it as "partial small subunit ribosomal RNA". The record is from RNAcentral. Lineage: Eukaryota; Viridiplantae; Streptophyta; Magnoliopsida; Poales; Poaceae.